RNAcentral lists this ribosomal RNA (301 nucleotides) under uncultured bacterium. Its description in RNAcentral is "partial 16S ribosomal RNA". It matches the Rfam family "Bacterial small subunit ribosomal RNA", at positions 509 to 807 of the family's 1533-position model. The record is from RNAcentral.
CAGUCGCCACGGGAAUACGUAGGGUGCGAGCGUUAAUCGGAAUUACUGGGCGUAAAGCGUGCGCAGGCGGUUAUAUAAGACAGAUGUGAAAUCCCCGGGCUCAACCUGGGACCUGCAUUUGUGACUGUAUAGCUAGAGUACGGUAGAGGGGGAUGGAAUUCCGCGUGUAGCAGUGAAAUGCGUAGAUAUGCGGAGGAACACCGAUGGCGAAGGCAGCCCCCUGGGCCAAUACUGACGCUCAUGCACGAAAGCGUGGGGAGCAGACAGGAUUAGAUACCCCAGUAGUCCCUGUCUCUUAUAC